This is a small nucleolar RNA of Peromyscus maniculatus bairdii (prairie deer mouse), 64 nucleotides long. RefSeq annotates it as small nucleolar RNA SNORD75. The record is from RefSeq and is a predicted model, not a curated record. Lineage: Eukaryota; Metazoa; Chordata; Mammalia; Rodentia; Cricetidae.
GGCUCAUAAAUGAUGAUGUGAGAGUAGUGGACAGAAGGGAUCUCCAAAAAACUAUUCUGAGGCU